GCUCUUACAUUUUCUUUACGUAGUCCUAUCGUCCGGUUAAACUGCCUUCUAAUACUUGAACGCCAUGAGGUUGCAACAACCCAUUCAUAUAUUUGUUUGGUUAUUUCUCAACGCAUAAGGGUGUAGAGAGAUAAUGAAGUUGAACUAGAACCACAUUCUUUUCGUGAAUAGCGUGACAUCCCAAUACCUACCAUUCUCAUGCUAACUCAGUACUUAAUAUGCAGUUAAUUAUGACUUUCAAUUAUAUC
Molecule: long non-coding RNA, 248 nt
Filed under: Oryza brachyantha (malo sina)
Lineage: Eukaryota; Viridiplantae; Streptophyta; Magnoliopsida; Poales; Poaceae
Description: long non-coding RNA (OBRA_LNC001363)
Source: RNAcentral